AACGCUAGCUACAGGCUUAACACAUGCAAGUCGAGGGGCAGCAUGGUCUUAGCUUGCUAAGGCCGAUGGCGACCGGCGCACGGGUGAGUAACACGUAUCCAACCUGCCGUCUACUCUUGGACAGCCUUCUGAAAGGAAGAUUAAUACAAGAUGGCAUCAUGAGUCCGCAUGUUCACAUGAUUAAAGGUAUUCCGGUAGACGAUGGGGAUGCGUUCCAUUAGAUAGUAGGCGGGGUAACGGCCCACCUAGUCUUCGAUGGAUAGGGGUUCUGAGAGGAAGGUCCCCCACAUUGGAACUGAGACACGGUCCAAACUCCUACGGGAGGCAGCAGUGAGGAAUAUUGGUCAAUGGGCGAGAGCCUGAACCAGCCAAGUAGCGUGAAGGGUGACUGCCCUACGGGUUGUAAACUUCUUUUAUAAAGGAAUAAAGUCGGGUAUGCAUACCCGUUUGCAUGUACUUUAUGAAUAAGGAUCGGCUAACUCCGUGCCAGCAGCCGCGGUAAUACGGAGGAUCCGAGCGUUAUCCGGAUUUAUUGGGUUUAAAGGGAGCGUAGAUGGAUGUUUAAGUCAGUUGUGAAAGUUUGCGGCUCAACCGUAAAAUUGCAGUUGAAACUGGCAGUCUUGAGUACAGUAGAGGUGGGCGGAAUUCGUGGUGUAGCGGUGAAAUGCUUAGAUAUCACGAAGAACUCCGAUUG
RNAcentral lists this ribosomal RNA (694 nucleotides) under uncultured bacterium. RNAcentral describes it as "bacterial SSU rRNA". It matches the Rfam family "Bacterial small subunit ribosomal RNA", at positions 32 to 715 of the family's 1533-position model. The record is from RNAcentral.